CAGCUACCCAGCAAUGGGAUGCGAAUCUCGAAAGCCUGUCUCAGUUCGGAUUGGAGGCUGAAACCCGCCUCCAUGAAGUUGGAUUCGCUAGUAAUCGCGCAUCGGCCAUGGCGCGGUGAAUACGUUCCCGGGCCUUGUACACACCGCCCGUCAAGCCAUGGGAGCCGGGGGUGCCUGAAGUUCGUGACCGCAAGGAGCGACCUAGGGCAAAACUGGUGACUGGGGCUAAGUCGUAACAAGGUACC
Molecule: ribosomal RNA, 245 nt
Filed under: uncultured bacterium
Lineage: Bacteria
Description: partial 16S ribosomal RNA
Rfam family: Bacterial small subunit ribosomal RNA
Source: RNAcentral